CAGAGUUGCAAAACUCCCAAACCAUUGUGAACAUACCUUUACGUAGUUGCUUCGGCGGACGGCCCUCUCCCGAGAGCCUGUAGCCCCUCGCGGGGUGUCCGCCGGAGGACCAACCUAAACUAUUGCAAUUAGUGGCCUCUCUGAGUAUUUUAUAAUAAGUUA
RNAcentral lists this unclassified non-coding RNA (162 nucleotides) under uncultured Sordariomycetes. RNAcentral's name for it is "sequence contains ITS1". The record is from RNAcentral. Lineage: Eukaryota; Fungi; Ascomycota; Sordariomycetes.